GACGAACGCUGGCGGCGUGCUUAACACAUGCAAGUCGAACGGAAAGGCCCUGCUUUUGUGGGGUGCUCGAGUGGCGAACGGGUGAGUAACACGUGAGUAACCUGCCCUUGACUUUGGGAUAACUUCAGGAAACUGGGGCUAAUACCGGAUAGGAGCUCCUGCUGCAUGGUGGGGGUUGGAAAGUUUCGGCGGUUGGGGAUGGACUCGCGGCUUAUCAGCUUGUUGGUGGGGUAGUGGCUUACCAAGGCUUUGACGGGUAGCCGGCCUGAGAGGGUGACCGGCCACAUUGGGACUGAGAUACGGCCCAGACUCCUACGGGAGGCUACAGUGGGGAAUAUUGCACAAUGGGCGGAAGCCUGAUGCAGCAACGCCGCGUGCGGGAUGACGGCCUUCGGGUUGUAAACCGCUUUCGCCUGUGACGAAGCGUGAGUGACGGUAAUGGGUAAAGAAGCACCGGCUAACUACGU
RNAcentral lists this ribosomal RNA (467 nucleotides) under uncultured bacterium. RNAcentral describes it as "partial 16S ribosomal RNA". It matches the Rfam family "Bacterial small subunit ribosomal RNA", at positions 28 to 506 of the family's 1533-position model. The record is from RNAcentral.